CCUACGGGAGGCAGCAGUAGGGAAUUUUGCGCAAUGGGCGAAAGCCUGACGCAGCAACGCCGCGUGAUCGAGACGCCCUUCGGGGUGUAAAGAUCUGUCAGUGGGGACGAAACUUGACGGUACCCACAGAGGAAGCACCGGCUAACUCCGUGCCAGCAGCCGCGGUAAUACGUAGGUGGCAAGCGUUUUCCGGAUUUAUUGGGUGUAAAGGGCGUGGAGGCGGGAAAGCAAGUCAGAUGUGAAAACUCAGGGCUCAACCCUGAGCCUGCAUUUGAAACUGUUUUUCUUGAGUGCUGGAGAGGCAAUCGGAAGUCCGUGUGUAGCGGUGAAAUGCGUAGAUAUAAGGAGGAACACCAGUGGCGAAGGCGGAUUGCUGGACAGUAACUGACGCUGAGGCGCGAAAGCGUGGGGAGCAAACAGGAUUAGAUACCCGGGUAGUC
Molecule: ribosomal RNA, 440 nt
Filed under: uncultured bacterium
Lineage: Bacteria
Description: partial 16S ribosomal RNA
Rfam family: Bacterial small subunit ribosomal RNA
Source: RNAcentral